CACGGAGGGGGCCAGCGUUGUUCGGAAUUACUGGGCGUAAAGCGCACGUAGGCGGCUUUGUAAGUUAGAGGUGAAAGCCCGGGGCUCAACUCCGGAAUUGCCUUUAAGACUGCAUCGCUAGAAUUGUGGAGAGGUAAGUGGAAUUCCGAGUGUAGAGGUGAAAUUCGUAGAUAUUCGGAAGAACACCAGUGGCGAAGGCGACUUACUGGACACAUAUUGACGCUGAGGUGCGAAAGCGUGGGGAGCAAACAGG
This 253-nucleotide ribosomal RNA is filed under the name uncultured bacterium. Its description in RNAcentral is "partial 16S ribosomal RNA". It matches the Rfam family "Bacterial small subunit ribosomal RNA", at positions 524 to 776 of the family's 1533-position model. The record is from RNAcentral.